UAAGCGGAGGAAAAGAAACCAACAGGGAUUGCCCCAGUAACGGCGAGUGAAGCGGCAACAGCUCAAAUUUGAAAUCUGGCCCCUCCCACGGGGGGGCCCGAGUUGUAAUUUGCAGAGGAUGCUUCUGGCGAGGUGCCUUCCGAGUUCCCUGGAACGGGACGCCACAGAGGGUGAGAGCCCCGUCUGGUCGGACACCGAGCCUCUGUGAAGCUCCUUCGACGAGUCGAGUAGUUUGGGAAUGCUGCUCUAAAUGGGAGGUAUAUGUCUUCUAAAGCUAAAUACCGGCCAGAGACCGAUAGCGCACAAGUAGAGUGAUCGAAAGAUGAAAAGCACUUUGAAAAGAGGGUUAAACAGUACGUGAAAUUGUUGAAAGGGAAGCGCUCACGACCAGACCUGGUCCCGGCGAAUCACCCGGCGUUCUCGCCGGUGCACUUCGGCGGGCUUCCAGGCCAGCAUCAGUCCGCGCCGGGGGACAAAGGCGGCGGGAACGUGGCUCCCCAGGGAGUGUUAUAGCCCGCCGCGCAAUGCCCCGGGGGCGGACUGAGGACCGCGCGUCUACCGCAAGGAUGCUGGCGUAAUGGUCGUCAGCGACCCGUCUUGA
RNAcentral lists this ribosomal RNA (601 nucleotides) under Hypocrella siamensis. RNAcentral's name for it is "LSU rRNA". It matches the Rfam family "Eukaryotic large subunit ribosomal RNA", at positions 47 to 657 of the family's 3401-position model. The record is from RNAcentral. Lineage: Eukaryota; Fungi; Ascomycota; Sordariomycetes; Hypocreales; Clavicipitaceae.